Molecule: ribosomal RNA, 584 nt
Filed under: Alternaria alternata
Lineage: Eukaryota; Fungi; Ascomycota; Dothideomycetes; Pleosporales; Pleosporaceae
Description: eukaryotic LSU rRNA
Rfam family: 5.8S ribosomal RNA (bases 223-376)
Source: RNAcentral
AGAGGAAGUAAAAGUCGUAACAAGGUCUCCGUAGGUGAACCUGCGGAGGGAUCAUUACACAAAUAUGAAGGCGGGCUGGAACCUCUCGGGGUUACAGCCUUGCUGAAUUAUUCACCCUUGUCUUUUGCGUACUUCUUGUUUCCUUGGUGGGUUCGCCCACCACUAGGACAAACAUAAACCUUUUGUAAUUGCAAUCAGCGUCAGUAACAAAUUAAUAAUUACAACUUUCAACAACGGAUCUCUUGGUUCUGGCAUCGAUGAAGAACGCAGCGAAAUGCGAUAAGUAGUGUGAAUUGCAGAAUUCAGUGAAUCAUCGAAUCUUUGAACGCACAUUGCGCCCUUUGGUAUUCCAAAGGGCAUGCCUGUUCGAGCGUCAUUUGUACCCUCAAGCUUUGCUUGGUGUUGGGCGUCUUGUCUCUAGCUUUGCUGGAGACUCGCCUUAAAGUAAUUGGCAGCCGGCCUACUGGUUUCGGAGCGCAGCACAAGUCGCACUCUCUAUCAGCAAAGGUCUAGCAUCCACUAAGCCUUUUUUUCAACUUUUGACCUCGGAUCAGGUAGGGAUACCCGCUGAACUUAAGCAUAUC